AAAGAAGGAUGUGCUCUGUUAACAUUGUAAGUGAAUGCUACUUUAAUCUUUAAAAAAAAAAGAAGCCAAAGGGGGAAAAAGAAAUCACCCAUAAAAGUUAAUUAUGAAAUUAAUUAUAAAAUAUGCAUACAAUUGUGCUUUAAAAAGGGAUGUAGCUUUAAAACAGAGAACUAAUGCCUCCUUAGCCGGAGCUUGGAACAGACUCACGGCCAGCGAAGUGAGUUCAGUGGCUGAGGUGAGGUACCCCGCGUGGGGGCCUCAUAACCCAAUUCAGACUACUCUCCUUCCUGU
This 291-nucleotide long non-coding RNA is filed under the name Cervus hanglu yarkandensis (Yarkand deer). RNAcentral's name for it is "Nuclear RNase P (ENSCHYG00000021153.1)". It matches the Rfam family "Nuclear RNase P", at positions 163 to 301 of the family's 301-position model. Rfam says of the family: Ribonuclease P (RNase P) is a ubiquitous endoribonuclease, found in archaea, bacteria and eukarya as well as chloroplasts and mitochondria. Its best characterised activity is the generation of mature 5'-ends of tRNAs by cleaving the 5'-leader elements of precursor-tRNAs. The record is from Rfam by way of RNAcentral. Lineage: Eukaryota; Metazoa; Chordata; Mammalia; Artiodactyla; Cervidae.